GGGGCUUUGGCGAAGUUGGGAUCGCGCCUGACUGGCAGUCAGGAGAUCAGGGGUUCGAAUCCCCUAAGCUCCACCA
This 76-nucleotide transfer RNA is filed under the name Keratinibaculum paraultunense. RNAcentral describes it as "tRNA-Ala". It matches the Rfam family "tRNA". Rfam says of the family: Transfer RNA (tRNA) molecules are approximately 80 nucleotides in length. Their secondary structure includes four short double-helical elements and three loops (D, anti-codon, and T loops). Lineage: Bacteria; Bacillati; Bacillota; Tissierellia; Tissierellales; Tepidimicrobiaceae. The record is from RNAcentral. RNAcentral also lists the same sequence under 2 other names.